This 440-nucleotide ribosomal RNA is filed under the name uncultured bacterium. RNAcentral's name for it is "partial 16S ribosomal RNA". It matches the Rfam family "Bacterial small subunit ribosomal RNA", at positions 338 to 795 of the family's 1533-position model. The record is from RNAcentral.
CCUACGGGCGGCAGCAGUGGGGAAUAUUGCACAAUGGGGGAAACCCUGAUGCAGCGACGCCGCGUGAGCGAUGAAGUAUUUCGGUAUGUAAAGCUCUAUCAGCAGGGGAGAAAAUGACGGUACCUGAGUAAGAAUCCCCGUCUAACUACGUUCCAGCAGCCGCGGUAAUACGUAGGGGGCAAGCGUUAUCCGGAUUUACUGGGUGUUAAGGGAGCUUAGAGGGCGUUGCAAGCCAGUUGUGAAAGGCGGGGGCUCAACCCCGGGACUGCAAUUGAAACUGUACAGCUGGAGUGUAGGAGAGGCAGGCGGAAUUCGUGGUGUAGCGGUGAAAUGCGUAGAUAUCACGAGGAACCCCGAUGGCGAAGGCAGCCUGCUGGACGGUGACUGACGUUGAGGCUCGAAAGCGUGGGGAGCAAACAGGAUUAGAUACCCUAGUAGUC